Molecule: transfer RNA, 90 nt
Filed under: Syntrophaceae bacterium
Lineage: Bacteria; Pseudomonadati; Thermodesulfobacteriota; Syntrophia; Syntrophales; Syntrophaceae
Description: tRNA-Ser
Rfam family: tRNA
About the family: Transfer RNA (tRNA) molecules are approximately 80 nucleotides in length. Their secondary structure includes four short double-helical elements and three loops (D, anti-codon, and T loops).
Source: RNAcentral
GGAGAGAUGCCCGAGAGGCCGAAGGGGCACGAUUGGAAAUCGUGUAUUCCGCUUAUAACGGGAUCGAGGGUUCGAAUCCCUCUCUCUCCG